RNAcentral lists this ribosomal RNA (710 nucleotides) under uncultured archaeon. RNAcentral's name for it is "bacterial SSU rRNA". It matches the Rfam family "Archaeal small subunit ribosomal RNA", at positions 21 to 717 of the family's 1478-position model. The record is from RNAcentral.
CCCGACUGCUAUUUGGGUGAGGAUAAGCCAUGCGAGUCGAAUGGGAUACCUAAAUUUCCCAUGGCGAACUGCUCAGUAACACAUGAUCAACUUACCCUAUUGAGAAAGAUAACCUCGGGAAACUGAGGAUAAUAUUUCAUAGUUGAAUUGGCUUGGAAAAGUUUUUCAACAAAAGGGAUAGGGAAAAUGGUCUCUAUCCGCUAUAGGAUAGGAUCGUGUUCGAUUAUGGUAGUUGGUGAGGUAACGGCUCACCAAGCCGAUAAUCGAUAGGGGCCGUGAGAGCGGGAGCCCCGAGAUGGGUACUGAGACAACGACCCAGGCCUUACGAGGCGCAGCAGGUACGAAACCUCCACAAUACACGAAAGUGUGAUGGGGUUACCCAAAGUGUUCAUUAUUGAACUGUGGUAGGAGAGUAAUGUCCCCUACUAGAAAGGAGAGGGCAAGGCUGGUGCCAGCCGCCGCGGUAAAACCAGCUCUUCAAGUGGUCGGGAUAAUUAUUGGGCUUAAAGUGUCCGUAGCCGGUUUGGUAAGUUCCUGGUAAAAUCGGAUAGCUUAACUAUCUGUAUGCUAGGAAUACUGCUAUACUAGAGGGCGGGAGAGGUCUGAGGUACUACAGGGGUAGGGGUGAAAUCUUAUAAUCCUUGCAGGACCACCAGUGGCGAAGGCGUCAGACUGGAACGCGCCUGACGGUGAGGGACGAAAGCCAGGGG